CCUCCUCCGGCUCCCGUUCCUCUGACCCGCGGAGCCCAGAGCCGGCUCCUCUUCCUGCUUCGGAGGACGGAGACGCCGUCCCAGGCAGCCGGCUGCUCCUGCCCGGAGUGGCUCCGGGACGGUCGGAGCGCAGGAUAUACUGGUUUGGGCUCCAGCCAUGGAGAAACUUUAUGGGCACAUGUCUGCCCACCCAGACAUCCUCUCCUUGGAGAACCGAUGCCUAGCCAUGCUCCCUGACUUGCAGCCCCUGGAGAAGUCAUGUAGGCAUAUGUCCACCCGUCUAGAUAUCCUCUCCGUGGAGAACCAGUGCCUGGCCACACUUCCUGAUGUGAAGAUCAUGGAGAAACCACAUGGACAUGUGUCUUCCCACCCAAAUAUCCUUUCCUUGGAAAAUCGGUGCCUGGCCACACUUCCUGAUGUGAAGAUCAUGGAGAAACCACACGGACAUGUGUCUUCCCACCCAGAUAUCCUUUCCUUGGAAAAUCGGUGCCUGGCCACACUUCCUGAUGUAAAGAUCAUGGAGAAACCACACGGACAUGUAUCUGCCCACUCAGACAUUCUUUCCUUGGAGAACCGGUGCCUGGCUACACACUCUGUUCUAAAGAGCACUAUGUCUGCCAGCUCCUUUCCCCAGUGUGUCCACACAUCUCAGCCGGUGCAAACCUGGAGGACUCAGUGUUUCUCUGAGGGACCAGGCCCUCCGACCUGCCCCAGAGCCCUGAAAUCCAUCUCUGCCACACGGGGAGCUCAGGAAACAGCUUUGGGUCAUUGGUCCUCUUCAGAAGACAAAAAGCCAGGGGAGAAGAAAUGGACAGAGAUUCAAAUGCCUUUUUACAGUCUAAGCUUGGGAGAGGAGGAGGAGGUGGAGGAACUGGCCUUGAAGCUCACCCCUGGAGACUCCGAGUCUUGGUCUGAGCCCACUGACCAGGUCCUUCAGGAGAAGAAGAUGGCUCUAAUGAGCUUGUUGUGCUCCACUGUGGCAUCAAAGGUAAACAUGAAAGAUGCCGCCAACCCUACCAAGACUGCCCUCCUGGAAAUCUGUAGGGAACUUGCCCCCUUGGAGCCUGAGUUUAUCCUUAAGGCAUCUCUGUAUGCCAGGCAGCAGCUGAACAUCAGGGAUGUAGCCAACCAAGUCUUGGCCAUUGCUGCCUUCUUGCCAGUCUGCCGCCCUCACCUACGACGAUAUUUCUGCGCUAUUGUCCAGCUGCCUUCUGAUUGGAUUCAGGUAGCCGAGUUUUACCAGAGCCUGGCUGAAGGAGAGGAGGACAAGCUGGUGCCCCUGCCUGCCUGCCUGCGUGCUGCUAUGACUGACAAAUUCACCCAGUUUGAUGAGUACCAGCUGGCCAAGUACAACCCUCGGAAGCACCGGGCCAAGAGAUGCCCCCAGCAACCCCCCCGGUCUCCAAAGACGAAAUAUACAUUUUCUAAGAAAAUGAAGGAUUUGCCAAUAUUUAAUCUUCUUAAAGAUGAACAGGAGAAGUUUGAGAAGUCUUACAAUGCAGUUCCAGAGAGAAAGAAGCCCCCAAGGUUCACCCUGAAGAAGUUGGUACAGCGACUGCACAUCCAGGAGCCUGCCCAGCACGUGCAAGCCUUGCUAGGCCACAGAUACCCCUCCAACCUGCAGGCCUUUUCUCGAAGUCGCCUCCCCGGGCCAUGGGAUUCUAGCAGAGCUGGGAAGCGGAUGAAGCUAUCUCAGCCCGAGACCUGGGAGCGGGAGCUGAGCUUGCGGGGGAACAAAGCAUCUGUCUGGGAGGAACUCAUUGGCAAUGGGAAGCUUCCCUUCAUGGCCAUGCUUCGGAAUCUGUGCAACCUGCUGCGGGUUGGGAUCAGCACCCACCACCACGAGCUUGUACUGCAGAGACUCCAGCAAGCGAAGUCCGUGAUCCACAGUCGGCAGUUUCCGUUCAGAUUUCUUAAUGCCCAUGAUUCCAUCAAUGACCUUGAGGCUCAGCUAAAAAAUAAAGAAUUGCCAUUUCCUUCCAACACACAACUGAUGAGACGGAUAAUGAUUAGACACUCUAAAAAUGUCCAGAGACGGUACGAUAAAAGGCAACUUCCAAACCUAAAACGUCGGGAACUUCGGGCAGUCCUGAGGGUGCCCGUGUUUUAUGAGCAACUCAAGCGAGAGCAGCUAAGAGUAUACAGGAGCAGAGAGUGGAAAUACGACAGUGAGAUGCUGGCUCGAUAUCGACAGGCCCUGGAGACAGCUGUGAACCUCUCGGUGAAGCACAGCCUGCCCCCGCUGCCAGGCCGCACCCUUCUGGUCUACCUCACAGAUGCGGAUGCAGACAAGAUCUGUCCCAAGAGCAACCUAGAAGGGCCCCCCUUGAACUACGUGUUGCUGUUGAUGGGCAUGAUGAUGGCGCGGGCGGAGCACUCGGACCUCGUGCUGUGCGGAAGAGGUGCUCUGAAGCCUGCGGUGAUUAAGGCAGAAGAUGGCAUCCUGAAGACUGCCCUCGCACUCCAGGCUCAAGUCCAGGAGUUAGAUGGAGACUAUGAAUGUUCCCUGCAUACUUUGGGGAAACACCUGCUGUCUCUGGCUGCACAGAGGGUUCCUGUGGACAGGGUCAUCGUCUUUGGCCAAGCUAUGAAUGCAAAUCUGAUAAACAAGGCCAAACAGCUUUUCUGGCAGCACGUGAAUCCCAAGUGCCUCUUUGUUGGUGUUCUCCUAAAGACGUGUGACAGAUUUCGAGAUUUGAAUCCCAAUGACGUGACACUCUCAGGCUGUACUGACGGGAUACUGAAGUUCAUUGCAGAGCGUGGGGCCUCCCGUCUUCUAGAACAUGUGGGCCAAAUGGACAAAAUAUUCAAGAUUCCCCCAACCCCAGGGAAGACAGGAGCCCUAGCUAUCCGGCCACUGGAAGAGAAUACUCCAAGCCCCAUGGCUCCUAUUUCCCAGCCUCGAUGGCACAGCAUCCGGAUUUUCAUUUCCUCUACUUUCCGGGACAUGCACGGGGAGCGGGACCUGCUGCUGAGGUCUGUGCUACCAGCAUUGCAGGCCCGAGCGGCCCCCCACCGCAUUAGGCUUCACGCCAUCGACCUGCGCUGGGGUGUCACUGAAGAGGAGACCCAUAGGAACAGACAACUGGAAGUGUGCCUCGGGGAGGUGGAGAAUUCGCAGUUGUUUGUGGGAAUUCUGGGCUCCCGCUAUGGCUACGUUCCACCCACCUACAACCUUCCUGACCAUCCUCACUUCCGCUGGGCCCAGCAGUACCCGUCAGGUCGCUCUUUGACAGAGAUGGAGGUGAUGCAGUUCCUGGAUCGGGGCCUCCGCCUGCAGCCCUCCGCCCAAGCACUUAUCUACUUCCGGGAUUCCAGCUUCCUCAGCUCUGUGCCAGAUCCCUGGAAACCUGACUUUACUCCUGAGUCCAAAGAGGCUGUACAUCGGAUCUCAGAACUGAAGAGCUACCUGAGUAAACAGAAAGGGGUUACCUGUCACAGAUACCCCUGUGAGUGGGGGGGUGUGGCCGCCGGCCUGCCCUAUGUUGCGGGGCUGGAGGAGUUCGGGCAGCUGGUUCUGCAGGAUGUAUGGAGUGUGAUCCAGAAGCUUUACUUACAGCCCAGGGCCCAGCCGGAGCAGCCGGAGCAGCCGGCAUCCAUCCCAGAUGAUGACGUGGUCCAGGCCAGCUUCCAGCAGCUGCAGUGCCCACCAAGUUCCGCCCGACCUCGCCUUCUCCAGGACACAGUGCAGCAGCUGCUGCUGCCCCGAGGGAGGCUGAGCCUGGUGACCGGGCAGCCGGGACAGGGCAAGACCACUUUCCUGGCAUCCCUGGUGACAGCCUUGCAGGUCGCUGAUGGGGCCAAGGCAGCCCCCUUAGUCUUCUUCCACUUCUCAGGAGCUCGCCCUGACCAGGGUCUUGCCCUCACCCUGCUCAGACGCCUCUGUGCCUAUCUGCAUAGGCAACUGCAAGAGCCGAGUGCCCUCCCCAGGACCUACCGGGGCCUGGUGUGGGAGCUGCAGCAGAGGCUGCUGCCCAAGUCUGCACAGUCCCUGCCGUCUGGCCAGAGCCUGGUGCUGAUCAUCGAUGGGGCUGACAGGGUGGUGGACCAGCAUGGGCGGCCCAUCUCAGACUGGAUCCCAAAGACCCUCCCCCGGUCGGUGCACCUGGUGCUGAGUGUGUCUAGUGACUCGAGCCUGGGGGAGACCCUGGAGCAGAGCCAAGGGGCCCAUGUGGUGGCCCUGGGGCCUCUGGAUCCCUCUGCACGGGCCCGGCUGGUGAGAGAGGAGCUGGCUCUGUACGCGAAGCGGCUGGAUGAGUCGCCUUUUAACAACCAGAUGCGGCUGCUGCUGGUGAAGCGGGGGUCAGCCCUGCCUCUCUACCUGCGCUUGGUCACCGAUCACCUGAGGCUCUUCACACUCUACGAGCAGGUGUCCGAGAGACUUCGGACCCUGCCAGCCACUGUCCCCCUGCUGCUGCAGUACAUCCUGGGCACCCUGGAGAAGGAGCAUGACCCUAACAUACUGUGCCAAGCCUUGGCCACCCUUGGGGUCACACGUAGCGGUCUCACUGUGGACCAGCUGCACGGAGUGCUGAGUGCAUGGAAGGUUCUUCCUAGAGGGACCAAGACCUGGGAAGAAGCGGUGGCUGCUGGGAACAGGGGGGACCCCUACCCUAUGGGGCCAUUUGCCUACCUCGUCCAGAGUCUGCGCAGUUUGCUAGGGGAGGGCCCCCUGGAGCGGCCUGGGGCCCGGCUCUGCCUCCCUGCCGGGCCCCUGAGGACAGCAGUUAAAGGUCGGUAUGGGAAGAGGCUGGAGCUGGAGAGCACAGCACACGUCCUCAUAGCAGCUCAGCUCUGGAAGACCUGCGACCCCGAUGCCUCAGGCACCUUCCGCUCUUGCCCCCCUGAGGCUCUGGAGGACCUGCCUUACCACCUGCUCCAGAGCAGGAACCGUGGCCUUCUGGCGAAGUUCCUCACCAACCUCCACGUGGUGGCUGCACACCUGGAACUGGGUCUGCUCCCUCGGCUUCUGGAAGCCCAUGCCCUCUACGCUUCCUCAGUACCUGAAGAGGAACAGCAGCUUCCCGAGGCUGACAUCGCUGCAUUCCACACGUUCCUGAAGCAGCAGGCUCCAGUCCUCAGUCAGUACCCCCUGCUCCUGCCUCAGCAGGCAGCCAACCAGCCCCUGGACUCGCCUGUUUGCCGCCAGGCCCCCCAGCUCUCCCAGCGGUGGCACCUCCAGCGCAUGCUAAAAUGGCUUAACAAACCCCACACCAUGGAGGGCCAGCAGAGCUCCAGCCUGUCCCUGGCAGUUUCCUCAUCCCCCACAGCAGUGGCCUUCUCCCCCAGUGGGCACAGAGCCGCCGUGGGCACUGCCAGUGGGACGGUUUACCUGUUGGACCUGAGAACCUGGCAGGAGGAGAAGUCUCUGGUAAGCGGCUGUGACGGGGUCUCCUCUUGUUCGUUCCUCUCGGACAAUUCCCUCUUUCUUACUGCCUUCGACGGGCUCCUGGAGCUCUGGGACCUGCAGCAUGGCUGUCGGGUGCUGCAGACCAAGGCUCACCAGUACCAAAUUACCAGCUGUUGCCUGAGCCCGGACCGCCGGCUGCUGGCCACUGUGUGCCUAGGGGGGUGCCUAAAGCUGUGGGACACAGUCCACGGGCAGCUGGCCUCCCAGCACACGGCUCCCAAGCCCGUGAACUGUGUUGCUUUUCACCCAGAGGGGCAGGUGCUAGCCAUCGGCAGCUGGGCUGGCAGCUGCAGCUUCUUCCAGGCGGAUGGACUCAGGGUGAUCAAGGAACUGGGAGCCCCGGGAGCCUCUGUCCGCACCGUGGCCUUCAAUGUGCCUGGGCGGGUGGUGACCGUGGGCCGGCUGGACAGGAUGGUGGAGCUGUGGGCCUGGCAGGAGGGGGCGCUGCUGGCUGCCUUCCCUGCCCACCAUGGCUUUGUGGUGGCUGCCCUUUUCCUGCGAGCUGGGAGCCAGUUACUGACAGCUGGAGAGGACGGCAAGGUUCAGGUGUGGUCCGGGUCUCCGGGUCGGCCCCGUGGGUCCCUGGGCUCCCUUUCUCUCUCUCCGGCCCUCGCCGUGGCUCUCAGCCCAGAUGGUCGUCAGGUGGCUGUUGGAUACCGAGCCGAUGGCAUCAGGAUCUACAAAGUAUCUUCAGGUUCUCAGGGGGCUCAGUGUCAGGCACUGGAUGUGGCAGUGACGGCACUGGCCUGGCUGAGCCCAGAGGUGUUGGUGAGUGGUGCGGAAGAUGGCUCCCUGCACGGCUGGGCCCUCCAGGAGAGCGCCUUUCAGUCCCUCUGGCUCAUGUCCAGACACCAGAAACCUGUGCUGGGCCUGGCCUCCUCCCAGGAACUCUUGGCUUCUGCCUCAGAGGAUUCCGCAGUGCGGCUGUGGCCACGGCAGUUGCUGACACUGCCACAAAAGGCGGAACACUUACCCCGUGCCACCGAACUGUGGGGACAUACGGGCCCCGUCAACUGCUGUAGCUUCAGCACUGAUGGGUGCCGCCUGGCCACCGGGGGCCGGGAUCGGAGUCUCCUCUGCUGGGAUGUGAGGACACCCACAGCCCCUGUGCUGAUUCACUCCUUUUCUGCCUGUCACCGUGACUGGGUCACUGGCUGCGCCUGGACCAAAGACAACUGGCUGAUCUCCUGCUCCAGCGAUGGCUCUGUGGGGCUGUGGGACCCAGAAUUGGGACAGCAGCUUGGUCAGUUCCUGGGUCAUCAGAGUGCCGUCAGCGCCGUAGUGGCCGUGGAGGAGCAUGUGGUGUCUGUGGGCCGGGAUGGAACCUUGAAAGUGUGGGACCAUCAGGGAGUGGAGCUGACCAGCAUCCCUGCUCACUCAGGACCCAUCAGCCAUUGUGCAGCUGCUCUGGAGCCCCGUGCAGCUUGCCAGCCUGGGUCAGAGCUUCUGGUGGUGACUGCUGGACUGGAUGGGCUCACACGGUUGUGGCAUCCGCUCUUGGUGUUUCAAACACAUACCCUGCUGGGACACAGUGGCCCAAUCAAUGCAGCAGCUGUUUCAGAGGCCUCAGGCCUCCUGCUGACCUCCUCGGAGGAUGGUUCCAUUCGGCUCUGGCAGGUACUGGAGGAAGCAGAUGAGGCAAAUAUACCUAGGAAUCCUGCAGCCAUCACAGCUGUGGCCUGGGCCCCAGAUGGUUCUGUGGCAGUGUCUGGGAAUCAGGCUGGAGAACUAACCUUAUGGCAAGAAGCUAAGGCGGUGGCCACAGUACAGGCUCCUGGCCGCAUCAGUGCCCUAGUCUGGUCCUCGGCAAACACCUUGGUCGUUGUCAGUGCUGAUGAAAAAGUCAGCGAGUGGCAAGUGGAACUGCAGAGGGAUUCAACACCCAGAACUUUCAGUCUCCGCCUGAACCGAGUUCUGCAGGAGAACUUAGGGUUCCUGACAGGUGUGGGCCUGGCCCCUGAUGGCCACUCCCUCAUCUUGGCUACGGCGGAUAUGAAGUUAUUGCACUUGAAGCCAGGGGAAGCUCCCUCUGAAAUCUGGCACGACUACUCAGAACAUCCUAUGAUGCUCUCCACCCACCAGGACUAUGGUGUGUUUGCCCUGCAGCCAACGGCCCCCGGAAGUCUUUCUGUCUUAAGGCAAAAGGAGUCUGGAGAGUUUGAAGAGCGCCUGGACUUUGAUCUGAAUUUAAAGAAUCCCAAUGGGACCCUAAUAUCAGUAACUCAGGCCAAACCUGAAUCUGAGUCCUCCUAUUUGUGUGCCAGCUCCGAUGGGAUGCUGUGGAACCUAGCCAAACGCACCUUUGAAGGAGAAUGGACCACAGGUAACAUCUGGCAGGAAACAGUACAAACACCUGAAAGCCAAACUACAGAAAUAGACUCAUCUGAGAGUAGUGACAUGGAGAGCUGGCCAACAACCCCAAGUCUAAAGACACGGCAGCGUAAAAAGAUUCACUCAGGCUCUGUCACGGCCCUCCAUGUGCUGCCUGAGUUGUUGGUGACAGCUUCGAAGGACAGAGAUGUUAAGCUGUGGGAGAGGCCCAGCAUGCAACUGCUGGGCCUGUUCCGGUGCGAAGGGGCAGUGAGCUGUCUGGAACCUUGGCUGGGGCCUGACUCUGCCCUGCAGCUUGCAGUGGGAGACACACAGGGCAAUGUAUACUUUCUGUCCUGGGAAUGAAGAUGCAUUACUCAGGGCAGCGGUACCAUCUGUGCUAGAGGUGCAAGCCUGAAGACACCGGUGGAAACUUUCUUGAUAAAAUUAUAAAAAUAAAGUAUCAAGAAAUUUCAAGU
Molecule: RNA transcript, 8199 nt
Organism: Pipistrellus kuhlii (Kuhl's pipistrelle)
Lineage: Eukaryota; Metazoa; Chordata; Mammalia; Chiroptera; Vespertilionidae
Gene: TEP1
Gene name: telomerase associated protein 1
Exons: 56
Source: RefSeq, a predicted model, not a curated record